RNAcentral lists this ribosomal RNA (388 nucleotides) under uncultured bacterium. RNAcentral describes it as "bacterial SSU rRNA". It matches the Rfam family "Bacterial small subunit ribosomal RNA", at positions 29 to 408 of the family's 1533-position model. The record is from RNAcentral.
AAUGAACGCUGGCGGCGCGCCUAAUACAUGCAAGUCGAGCGAGAAGACGUAGCAAUACGUUUGUAAAGCGGCGAACGGGUGAGGAAUACAUGGGUAACCUACCCUAGAGUGGGGAAUAACUAGCCGAAAGGUUAGCUAAUACCGCGUACGCUCCUUGGACUUCGGUUCAGGGAGGAAAGCGAUGCCGAGGGUAUCGCGCUCUUGGAUGGGCUCAUGUCCUAUCAGCUGUUGGUGAGGUAACGGCUCACCAAGGCUUCGACGGGUAGCUGGUCUGAGAGGACGAUCAGCCACACUGGCACUGCGACACGGGCCAGACUCCUACGGGAGGCAGCAGUAAGGAAUAUUGCGCAAUGGGCGAAAGCCUGACGCAGCGACGCCGCGUGGGGGA